AAGUCGUAACAAGGUUUCCGUAGGUGAACCUGCGGAAGGAUCAUUAUCGAAUGCUUUUCCAAGCAUCUCGCCUAUUGUGCACUGUACAAACUGUCCCUUUGGCGGGCAAUCGGAGGAGAAACACAACGCGCUGUUCUCUUUCGGGCGUUUCUGUUGAUUUUUGUCUCAAAAAUAGUGGAAAUCGCGUGUCCGCCAGAGGAUUUUUCUAUACAGACGUAUCAAACUUUGUCAGAAAAAGCAUUAUUUCGAAAGAAAUAAAAUCGCGAAAUAAAAUGAGCACAACUUUUAACAAUGGAUCUCUUGGCUCUU
This 309-nucleotide unclassified non-coding RNA is filed under the name fungal sp. Its description in RNAcentral is "partial internal transcribed spacer region". The stretch from base 1 to 46 matches the Rfam family "Eukaryotic small subunit ribosomal RNA", at positions 1786 to 1831 of the family's 1831-position model. The record is from RNAcentral. Lineage: Eukaryota; Fungi.